Molecule: long non-coding RNA, 807 nt
Filed under: Citrus x clementina
Lineage: Eukaryota; Viridiplantae; Streptophyta; Magnoliopsida; Sapindales; Rutaceae
Description: Citrus clementina (C. clementina) long non-coding RNA (CCLE_LNC001137)
Source: RNAcentral
AAACUUGCAAAGAGAGAAAAUAAUGUCCAAGGAAGAUGAUGAUGAGGCCAGAUUUUAUCGCUCCUUUAGGAAGUAUGAAAAGAUGGUAAAGCAGGUACAGCAAUCAACAUCAUUGCUAGCUAGCUAGUCAUGGGUUUGAUUAUUAUUACAUAUCUACAAAAACACAAUUGCCUUUCUUUGUUUCAACAAAAUGUUUCUAAGGUAGAUAAAACAAAAUUAAUCCGCUAUUCGAAGCUGAUCAAAUAAUUAAUUUAAUGUUUACAGAUGAGGCGGUUUGACGAGAUUGCUGUAAUAAUGGACGCUGUCAGGUCUAGUUCGACCAAAAAGAAAAGGGUAUUUAUUUUUAUUUAAUUUUCCUUAUCAAUAUUCCCAUAAUAAAUUAAUAUUAGAUUAUGCUUAUUAUUGAGUAAAUAAAAUUUAAUUUGUUUGUAGAACUCUGAAGGGCAGGGCAGUUGUAGCAGUACUGGCGUGGCUGAUAAUCAAGAAAACUCGAACCGGCUUCUCGUGGAAACCAUAACCAAAUUUCUCAAUGAGUUGAAUGAAGAAGACAACGGUUAUGACAUUAAUGAUCCCAAGCCAUCCAAUAAUCCAUGAUUCGACGAAGCUCACAAGAGAAUAUGCAACUAUGGCUUUAGCAUUCAUAUUAGUACUUAUAAUUAUAUGAAGUAACCGCAAUUAGUACUGUUCUAGUUUUAGUGUGACAUCUUAAAAUAUUUUAAUGAUGUCUAAGUACCUUAAGAUUAUAUUUUAAGGAUCCUUGGAUCCAUAUCUUGUACCGAGAAAGUUUAAUCUUGAAUCAAAUAUUGG